Molecule: ribosomal RNA, 310 nt
Filed under: uncultured bacterium
Lineage: Bacteria
Description: bacterial SSU rRNA
Rfam family: Bacterial small subunit ribosomal RNA
Source: RNAcentral
GACGAACGCUGGCGGCGUGCUUAACACAUGCAAGUCAAGGAGAAAGCUUCCUUCGGGGAGUUAUUAAACUGGCGCACGGGUGAGGAAUAUAUAAGCAAUCUACCCAUAGGUUCGGAAUAACGUCGAGAAAUCGGCGCUAAUACCGUAUAACGUAACAACAUCGCAUGAUGAUGUUAUUAAAGCUCUUGAAGCGCCCAUGGAUGAGCUUGUAACUGAUUAGUUUGUUGGUGAGGUAAUGGCUCACCAAGACUACGAUCAGUAGCUGGUCUGAGAGGAUGAUCAGCCACAUUGGAACUGAGACACGGUCCAG